AUUGAACGCUGGCGGCAGGCUUAACACAUGCAAGUCGAGCGGGGGAAGGUAGCUUGCUACCGGACCUAGCGGCGGACGGGUGGGUAAUGCUUAGGAAUCUGCCUAUUAGUGGGGGACAACAUAUACAAAGGGAUGUUAAUACAGCAUACGUUCAUCGGUAGAAAGCAGGGGAUCUUCGGAUCUUGCGCUAAGAAAUGAGCCUUAGUCGGAUUAGCUAGUUGGCGGGGUAAAGGCCGACCAAGGCGACGAUCUGUAGCGGGUCUGGGAAGAUGAUCCGCCGCACUGGGACUGAGACACGGCCCAGACUCCUACGGGAGGCAGCAGUGGGGAAUAUUGGACAAUGGGGGGAACCCUGAUCCAGCCAUGCCGCGUGUGUGAAGAAGGCCUUAUGGUUGUAAAGCACUUUAAGCGAGGAGGAGGCUACUUUAGUUAAUACCUAGAGAUAGUGGACGUUACUCGCAGAAUAAGCACCGGCUAACUCUGUGCCAGCCGCCGCCGUAA
This 501-nucleotide ribosomal RNA is filed under the name uncultured bacterium. Its description in RNAcentral is "partial 16S ribosomal RNA". It matches the Rfam family "Bacterial small subunit ribosomal RNA", at positions 30 to 523 of the family's 1533-position model. The record is from RNAcentral.